AUCCUAUUGCACUCAGCACUAGGCCCUAGGAAUAGCAGACAAGAAGAGGCUGACUCUGACUUCUGUUUUGAUGUGUCUUAGUAACCAGAAAUGACUGGUAUGAGAAUAUGCAAAUACAGAUGAGCCAUAGAACAAUCAUGUGAGGUUUCCAGAGCCAGUCAAAAGUAAACAUCAGUAGUUUGACACAGACGUCAGAGAAGAAGUGGAUCUUGGGGAGGGACCUGGAACACCUAUUAUUACACAG
This is a long non-coding RNA of Mauremys reevesii (Reeves's turtle), 244 nucleotides long. RefSeq lists it as uncharacterized. The record is from RefSeq and is a predicted model, not a curated record. The transcript has 3 exons. NCBI's taxonomy places the organism in Eukaryota, Metazoa, Chordata, Testudines, Geoemydidae.